RNAcentral lists this ribosomal RNA (161 nucleotides) under Gracilaria babae. Its description in RNAcentral is "partial 18S ribosomal RNA". It matches the Rfam family "Eukaryotic small subunit ribosomal RNA", at positions 1671 to 1831 of the family's 1831-position model. Lineage: Eukaryota; Rhodophyta; Florideophyceae; Gracilariales; Gracilariaceae. The record is from RNAcentral.
GCCCGUCGCUCCUACCGAUUGAGUGGUCCGGUGAGGCCUUGGGAGAGCUAGAUGAACUGAUUAAUCAGAUCUUUUGGCUUGAACUUGGUCAAACCUUAUCACUUAGAGGAAGGAGAAGUCGUAACAAGGUUUCCGUAGGUGAACCUGCGGAAGGAUCAUUC